GGAAACCGGGGGACGGGGGCAGGUGAAAGGCAGGGGGGGCGAGCGGUGGCGGGAGUGACUGGGCGGAAGGCGGACGCAGGCGGCCAGGCAAGUGGGGUGUGAAAGCGGGCGGCUUAACCGCCCGAGGCCAUCUCAGACUGCUUGGCUCGAGCCCGGGAGAGGUCCCUCGAAUUGCCGGUGUAGUGGUGAAAUGCGUAGAGAUCGGCAGGAAGACCAAGGGGGAAGCCAGGGGACUGGCGCGGUGCUGACGCUCAGGUGCGACAGCGUGGGGAGCGAACCGGAUUAGAUACCCUAGUAGUC
RNAcentral lists this ribosomal RNA (300 nucleotides) under uncultured Enterorhabdus sp. RNAcentral's name for it is "partial 16S ribosomal RNA". The stretch from base 52 to 300 matches the Rfam family "Bacterial small subunit ribosomal RNA", at positions 547 to 795 of the family's 1533-position model. The record is from RNAcentral. Lineage: Bacteria; Bacillati; Actinomycetota; Coriobacteriia; Eggerthellales; Eggerthellaceae.